GACGAACGCUGGCGGCGUGCUUAACACAUGCAAGUCGAACGAUGAACCCGGAGCUUGCUCCGGCGGAUUAGUGGCGAACGGGUGAGUAACACGUGAGUAACCUGCCCUUGACUCUGGGAUAACUGCGGGAAACUGUAGCUAAUACCGGAUACGACCCUCGGAGGCAUCUCCAGGGGGUGGAAAGAAUUUCGAUAAAGGAUGGACUCGCGGCCCAUCAGCUAGUUGGUGAGGGACUGGCUCACCAAGGCGACGACGGGUAGCCGGCCUGAAACGGUGACGGACAACACUGGGACUGAGACACGGCCCAGACGCCUACGGGAGGCAACAGUGGGGAAUGUUGCACAAUGGGCGCAAGCCGGAUGCAGCAACGCCGCGUGAGGGAUGACGGCCUUCGGGUUGUAAACCUCUUUUAGUAGGGAAGAAGCGAAAGUGACGGUACCUGCAGAAAAAGCACCGGCUAACUACGUGCCAGCCGCCGCCGUAA
Molecule: ribosomal RNA, 484 nt
Filed under: uncultured bacterium
Lineage: Bacteria
Description: partial 16S ribosomal RNA
Rfam family: Bacterial small subunit ribosomal RNA
Source: RNAcentral